This 421-nucleotide ribosomal RNA is filed under the name Fusobacteriota bacterium. RNAcentral describes it as "Fusobacteria bacterium partial 16S ribosomal RNA". It matches the Rfam family "Bacterial small subunit ribosomal RNA", at positions 355 to 776 of the family's 1533-position model. Lineage: Bacteria; Fusobacteriati; Fusobacteriota. The record is from RNAcentral.
UGGGGAAUAUUGCACAAUGGACGGAAGUUUGAUGCAGCGACGCCGCGUGGAGGGUGUAGGCCUUCGGGUUGUGAACUCCUUUUUCUCGCGAAAAAGGCACAGUUUUGGCUGUGUUGAUGGUAGUGGGGGAAGAAGCGCCGGCUAACUACGUGCCAGCAGCCGCGGUAAUACGUAGGGCGCGAGCGUUGUCCGGAUUUAUUGGGCGUAAAGAGCUCGUAGGUGGUUCGUCGCGUCUGUCGUGAAAGCCAGCAGCUUAACUGUUGGUCUGCGGUGGGUACGGGCGGGCUUGAGUGCGGUAGGGGUGACUGGAAUUCCUGGUGUAGCGGUGGAAUGCGCAGAUAUCAGGAGGAACACCGAUGGUGAAGGCAGGUCACUGGGCCGUUACUGACACUGAGGAGCGAAAGCGUGGGGAGCGAACAGG